This 253-nucleotide ribosomal RNA is filed under the name uncultured bacterium. Its description in RNAcentral is "partial 16S ribosomal RNA". It matches the Rfam family "Bacterial small subunit ribosomal RNA", at positions 524 to 776 of the family's 1533-position model. The record is from RNAcentral.
UACGUAGGUCUCAAGCGUUGUUCGGAUUCAUUGGGCGUAAAGGGUGCGUAGGCGGUCGUGCAAGUCGGGUGUGAAAUCUCAGGGCUCAACCCUGAAACUGCAUUCGAUACUGCGUGGCUAGAGUGCUGGAGAGGAGACUGGAAUUUACGGUGUAGCAGUGAAAUGCGUAGAUAUCGUAAGGAAGACCAGUGGCGAAGGCGAGUCUCUGGACAGCAACUGACGCUGAGGCACGAAGGCCAGGGGAGCAAACGGG